RNAcentral lists this ribosomal RNA (500 nucleotides) under uncultured bacterium. Its description in RNAcentral is "partial 16S ribosomal RNA". It matches the Rfam family "Bacterial small subunit ribosomal RNA", at positions 30 to 523 of the family's 1533-position model. The record is from RNAcentral.
AUUGAACGCUGGCGGCAUGCCUUACACAUGCAAGUCGAACGGCAGCGCGGGAGCAAUCCUGGCGGCGAGUGGCGAACGGGUGAGUAAUAUAUCGGAACGUGCCCUGGAGUGGGGGAUAACUAGUCGAAAGACUAGCUAAUACCGCAUACGAUCUACGGAUGAAAGUGGGGGAUCGCAAGACCUUAUGCUCGUGGAGCGGCCGAUAUCUGAUUAGCUAGUUGGUGGGGUAAAAGCCUACCAAGGCGACGAUCAGUAGCUGGUCUGAGAGGACGACCAGCCACACUGGGACUGAGACACGGCCCAGACUCCUACGGGAGGCAGCAGUGGGGAAUUUUGGACAAUGGGGGCAACCCUGAUCCAGCAAUGCCGCGUGUGUGAAGAAGGCCUUCGGGUUGUAAAGCACUUUUGUCCGGAACGAAACGGUUGGGGCUAAUAUCCCCGGCUAAUGACGGUACCGGAAGAAUAAGCACCGGCUAACUACGUGCCAGCCGCCGCGGUAA